CAAACGACUCUCGGCAACGGAUAUCUCGGCUCACGCAUCGAUGAAGAACGUAGCAAAAUGCGAUACUUGGUGUGAAUUGCAGAAUCCCGUGAACCAUCGAGUUUUUGAACGCAAGUUGCGCCCGAAGCCAUUCGGCCGAGGGCACGUCUGCCUGGGCGUCACA
This 163-nucleotide ribosomal RNA is filed under the name Callistephus chinensis (China aster). RNAcentral's name for it is "5.8S ribosomal RNA". It matches the Rfam family "5.8S ribosomal RNA". Rfam says of the family: 5.8S ribosomal RNA (5.8S rRNA) is a component of the large subunit of the eukaryotic ribosome. It is transcribed by RNA polymerase I as part of the 45S precursor that also contains 18S and 28S rRNA. Functionally, it is thought that 5.8S rRNA may be involved in ribosome translocation. The record is from RNAcentral. RNAcentral also lists the same sequence under 3 other names. Lineage: Eukaryota; Viridiplantae; Streptophyta; Magnoliopsida; Asterales; Asteraceae.